GACGAACGCUGGCGGCGUGCUUAACACAUGCAAGUCGAGCGAUGAAGCACCUUCGGGUGUGGAUUAGCGGCGAACGGGUGAGGAACACGUGAGGAAUCUGCCUUUCACUUCGGGAUAACUCCGGGAAACCGGGGCUAAUACCGGAUAUUUUCAACUGGCGGCAUCGCCGGUUGAAGAAAGUUUUUCGGUGAAAGAUGACCUCGCGGCCUAUCGGCUUGUUGGUGAGGUAAUGGCUCACCAAGGCGACGACGGGUAGCCGGCCUGAGAGGGCGGCCGGCCACACUGGGACUGGGAACCGGCCCAGACUCCUACGGGAGGCAGCAGUGGGGAAGAUUGGGCAAUGGAGGAAACUCUGACCCAGCGACGCCGCGUGAGGGAUGAAGGCCUUCGGGUUGUAAACCUCUUUCAGCAGGGAAUAAGCGAAAGUGAAGGUACCUGCAGAAGAAGCACCGGCUAACUAUGUGCCAGCCGCCGCAGUAA
This 480-nucleotide ribosomal RNA is filed under the name uncultured bacterium. RNAcentral describes it as "partial 16S ribosomal RNA". It matches the Rfam family "Bacterial small subunit ribosomal RNA", at positions 28 to 523 of the family's 1533-position model. The record is from RNAcentral.